This is a long non-coding RNA of Phyllostomus discolor (pale spear-nosed bat), 2241 nucleotides long. RefSeq lists it as uncharacterized. The transcript has 2 exons. Lineage: Eukaryota; Metazoa; Chordata; Mammalia; Chiroptera; Phyllostomidae. The record is from RefSeq and is a predicted model, not a curated record.
UGAUCACCUUCUCCCAUGGAAAGCUUAAAAUCAUUAAUUAUCAAAGGUAAAUUUAUAUAGAAGUCAGACUAUAGUCACUGAAACUAAAAUACAGGUAGGUUCUCAAUCCCUAUGCAUAAGGCAAGUUUACACAUGGAAUAACUUCUCUCUCUCUAUUCCCUGGCUUACUUUUGAUAGUUGUCUUGUCCUCAUCAGUUUGUUUGUCUGUAUGUUGUUUAUAUGCCUUUUGGGUGAAUGUCUCUUUAAGGAGCAGAGGUGAUGUAACAUCCCAGAAUAUGGAUGAGAGUUAAAAAAUGGCAGUGAUGAGAGUGAUUAACUGAUUAAUAUGUAGUGAGGAUGGAUUAGGAGCUGGGAGAAGAGAGAGGCUGGAAAAAGAAAGUGUAUUAUUAACAACACAAAAGGAAAAAUGGAACAAAUUAUUAAAAUAUGAAAUCUAAAGGAGGAAAAAUGGUUGCAGAAAGGCUACCAGAUGACAGCAGGAAACAUUGUCUGGUGUAUUUUUAGAAGAGAGAUGGAAUAGUAGGAGAGAGGAGCGUUUCUGAAGACCAGUGAAGAGCCUAAAGGCAGACCCAGGAGGGAUCAGUUGUGGAGCACUACUUCUGCCAUAUCCCAAUUCCAUUUCCAGUAACUCCCACCAGCCUGGAUUCUGAGAUGAGACUGCUGGCUUUUCUUCAGCACACUGAGAUUCUGAACUGAUAUUCAUCCCAGUGGUCAGCAUUUGACCCUUGAGGGAAAUAGUCCCACAUGUUAAGGAAGGGCAGUUGCACUGAUCAAUAUGGGGGUUGGUGAGGGACUUUAUUACAAUUUUGAAGCUGUUGAGUACAAAAGAAUAAAAAUACAAAGAAAUCUAUACUGGGUCAUACCAUAUCAGUGUGUGGGAGGUUUCUAAAUUUUCUCUUUAAUUUUAAAAGAUUAUUAACUUAUAAAGCUAUACUUGAUUAAAUCUCAAGUACUACCUAAGCAACCCAUCCCUGGAGAGAGCCCUCAGAAUGAGUGCAUCCUCUGCUUCUCCAGAAACCAUUUUAAGUUAUUAUCUCAGUGCUAGUUAAGAUGAAGCAAAGCCUCUUAAUAAGCUACUUCUGCAUGCCACAUAAUAAAACAGUUUGAGCAGCUAUUUGAACACUUACCCACACGCAAUCUGAAAGACUGGCUGUAAACUACUUAUAAAGGUUCUCUGUGGAUACAACAGAAGAGAGAUGGAAAACUAGUUUUAGUUUUAAGAACAGGGAUUAAAUAUGCUGACUUCCAGAAAGACCAUCACACAUCUGCAAUACCCACUGAAAAUUAAAAGAAAAUCAUGUCGCAGUUAAUAAAUUAUGUAUGCACACACACACACACACACACACACACCUCCAACCCUCAACUCUAGCUUUUGUCGUUUAGGUGUUUUUAAUGGAGAGGGUUUUCUUGUGAGAUGAAAAUGCCCAUAUAACUAUUUCUCAUGGUGUUCUAGCAGAAUCAGUUAAUAAUACCCCACAGCCCCAUCUAGCAGACAAGAAACUGAAGCUCAGAGUCAAGGAAGUUACUAAGAGCCCCACAAUAUAGUACUGGGGUCAACCUUAGAGUUCUGUUCCUAAAACCUCUCAAUCAGUUGCUAAGCUAGGUUGACCUCAUCAAGUACAGGCAUACCUUGGAGAUAUUGCACAUUCACUUCCAACCACUGCAAUAAAGCAAGUAUUGCAAUAAAGUGAGAUGUAAUCUUUUAUGCUGGUGGAGGAUCUUGCUUUCAAUUUGUGAAACACACAUCUAUGAAGAGCAAUAAACUGGGGUGCAAUAAAACAAGGUGGGCCUGUAUUAGCAGCCAAAAGGCAAAGCACAUAGCACCAAGGUCCCUGCCCUUCCCGACUUUCUAAUAUUAAAAUUGAAGAAUUUCUUUUUCACUUAUAAGUGGCAUUUACUUCACUAUAGAGGAGCUCACAAAUGCUGGUAUAGACUAUAAAAUACAGCAGAAUGAGGCAGAAGAAUAAGGAUUAAAAGCUGAGAUGGGAUACAUCUAAGGAAUGAUAAGGAUGGAAUUAAGAGAAUGAGAAUAACUAAUGGGGUAUCAUAGGGCUAAGAUGAUGAUAAUAGGGUGGAGCUAAGAUGAUAUUAACAAGCUGGGGAACAGUUGAAAAAGCCAUGAAAGGAGUGUGGGUGAGAUGGUUCAACAAUACAAAUGGUCUCGUGGAAAUGAGGGCAGAGUGCAUUUACCAGCUGUGAACAGUGUGAUGACAAAAUAUUAAGCAGAGUUAUUUUAACAGU